Long non-coding RNA from Equus caballus (horse), 2587 nucleotides. The record is from Ensembl. Lineage: Eukaryota; Metazoa; Chordata; Mammalia; Perissodactyla; Equidae.
AAAAUAUUAGGCAGUCAUUAAGAACAUGUUAUAGAAAAAAAUUAUCGACCUGAAGAAAAUAUUUGCACAUUAUUGAAUAUAAAGAAAAGCAUGAAAAAAGCCACCUAAGAAUAUGUGCAAAUUCUGUAAAAGGAAAGAAAUACUCUUUGACUCAAAAUUUUUGCUUCUGGGAAUUUAUCUAAGAAAAUACUAAAGAAUGGGUGCAAAGACUCCAAGUCCAUCUUCAUCCAACAAUUGUAUUUAACAGCAUAAAAAUUAGAAACAACCUAUAAGUCCAAAAAUAUGGGAUUGAAUUUCUGUUUGCAAUCAAGAUAGAGUAACAAAAUGUGUUCUCUGACCACAAUGGAAUUAAAUUAGAACUCAGUAACAGAAAGUUAUCUGGACAAACCCCAAAUAUUUGGAAAUUAAAUUAUAUACUUUUAAAUAACCCAUAGGUCAAAAAAGAAAUCAAAAGUGAAAUUAGAAAAAAAUUUUAACUGACUAAAAAUGAAAAUAUAACAUAAGAAAAUAUAUGGUAUACUGUUAAAGCAGUAAUUAGGGAGAAUAUUUUUACUCUAAGCACCUGUAUUAAAAAACACCUAUCGUAAAAAGGAGGAAAGAUCUCGAGUCAAUGACAUCAGCUUCCACCUUAAAAAACAAGAAAAAUUUCAAAUUCCUUAAAAGAGACAAACUACUUAUUCAAGAAGAAGUAGAUAACCUAGAAUCUAGAACGUCUGUAUCUAUUAAAGACAUUAAGUUUGGAGUUUUAAACCUUCCCACAAAGAAAAUUCCAUUCUCAGAUGCCUUCACUGGUGAAUCUUAUCAAAUAUUUAAGGAAGAAAUAAUAUUUCAACACAAACUCUUCCAGAAAAUUGAAGAUGUCUCAACUCAUUCUAUGAGGCCAGCAUUACUAUGCUACUAAAACCAGAAAAAGAUAUUAUAAGAAAACUACAGGGGGCUGGCCCCGUGGCUGAGUGGUUAAGUGCAUAUAAUCUGCUUCAGUGGUCUAGGGGUUCAUCGCUUCAGAUCCAGGGCACAGACCUACACUGCUCAUUAAGCCAUGCUAUGGUGGCAUCCCACACAGAAGAAGUAGAAUCACUUACUGCUAGGAUAUGCAACUAUGUACUGGGGCUUUGGGGAGGAAAAAAACAGGGGGAAGAUUGGCAACAGAUUUUAGCUCAGGGCCAAUCUUCCUCACCAAAAAAGAAAGAAGAAGAAGAAGAAAAAAGAAAACUGCAGAACAAUAACAAUACUGUUCAUGAACAUAGAGACACAAUUCUUACAAAUUUUAACAAAUCAAAUCUAACACUAUAUUAAAAGGAUAAUACAUCGUGACUAAGUGGGGCUUAUCUCAGGAAUGCAAAGUUAGUUUAAUGCUCAAAAACCAACCAAUGUAAUUCACAUGUUAACAGACUAAAAAACAAUCUGAUCAUCACACUAGAUGAAGAAAAAGCAUUUGACAAGUACGCAACAUCUGCUCCUGAUAAAAACACUUGGCAAGCUAGGAAUAGAGGAAUAUUCUCAACCUGAUAAAGGGCAACUACAAAAACUAUGCUGCUAACAUCAUACUUAAUGAUGAAAGACUUUCUCCUAAGAUGAGGAAACAGGCAAGAAUGUCUACUCUCACCACUUCUAUUCAACAUGGUACUGGAGGUUUUAGGCAGUCCGACCGGGCAAGAAAGAGAAAUAAAAGACAUCCAGACUGGAAAUGAGCAAUGUUACCCAAAGAUUAUGUGACCAUUCAGAAGUUCCCCCGACCAGUCAGGAAAAAUUGUACACUUUUAAGGGCCUGUGGAGGAAAACCACUGAAGAGCAGAGGGAAGAGAAGGGAGGCACUGACUUCUGGCAAAUACCAGUUCUGCACCAACUAGCUGUGGGACUCUUUCUCUCUCAAUCUCCUCAUCUGUAAGGGUGGUAAUAAGGGAUCUUUAAAGUGUCUUACAGCUUUAAAAAUCUAUCAUUUCAACUCUUAUUUGAAUAAAAUCCAAUACAUUUGGAGAAAAUAAAAGGUAUUUUCAGUAUUCCAAGGUAUGACGAAGCUGGUUAAGGACAUUUUAGAUUGUUAAUGUCUUAGAACAGAUUUCUUGACAUAAAUUCAAACUGGAUAUUGUUGGAGGCUGCCAUUGAGAGGACAUGACUGCCAAUUGACCUGCAAGCUGGACUUGGGCAAUUGGAAGCUCCUCACACCCUCCCCUAUCCUUGGAUUGUACAUUCUGCCCACUGUUCCCAAAGUGGGAGCCAUUUUUAAGGAUGUAUCCUUGAGAGAGCAGUGUGUUAUUGAGACCAUCUGGAUGGCAUACAUGGCUGAACCUAGUGAAGGCCUCUGUAUAAACUUUUAAGAUUCUGGUGGGCAAGUAUGGAGAUCUACUCAUCCUGCAGCCACCCAAGACAAGCCUUGUGAGUAAGUUCCUGUGCUUGUUAAUCCUGCCCCCUACCAAUCUGGAGUGCUCUGCUUCUUUCUUAGUCCUUGCUCUUUAUGUACAGGGGUGUUCACAAACCAACAGAUGUAUAGUAUUUUUCUUAUUGAGAUUUCAAUUUUUAUAACACAUACGAUCCGUUAUUGUAAUAUACAAGAAGUUGGUAAUAUAUUUACAAAUUUAUUUCUCAG